This 497-nucleotide ribosomal RNA is filed under the name uncultured bacterium. RNAcentral describes it as "partial 16S ribosomal RNA". It matches the Rfam family "Bacterial small subunit ribosomal RNA", at positions 28 to 507 of the family's 1533-position model. The record is from RNAcentral.
GACGAACGCUGGCGGCGAGCCUAAUACAUGCAAGUUGAGCGCUGAAGGUUGGUACUUGUACCCACUGGAUGAGCAGCGAACGGGUGAGUAACGCGUGGGGAAUCUGCCUUUGAGCGGGGGACAACAUUUGGAAACGAAUGCUAAUACCGCAUAAAAACUUUAAACACAAGUUUUAAGUUUGAAAGAUGCAAUUGCAUCACUCAAAGAUGAUCCCGCGUUGUAUUAGCUAGUUGGUGAGGUAAAGGCUCACCAAGGCGAUGAUACAUAGCCGACCUGAGAGGGUGAUCGGCCACAUUGGGACUGAGACACGGCCCAAACUCCUACGGGAGGCAGCAGUAGGGAAUCUUCGGCAAUGGACGAAAGUCUGACCGAGCAACGCCGCGUGAGUGAAGAAGGUUUUCGGAUCGUAAAACUCUGUUGGUAGAGAAGAACGUUGGUGAGAGUGGAAAGCUCAUCAAGUGACGGUAACUACCCAGAAAGGGACGGCUAACUACGUG